GAUGAACGCUGGCGGCAUGCCUAAUACAUGCAAGUCGAACGGACAGAGAAUGAUGCUUGCCUCUUACAAGUGGGUGGCGACCGGCUGGGUAACAAUACAACAACAUCCCCCUAGGCUGGGGGGAUCACGUGGAGACAGUUACUAAAAUAGAAUAUACCUUCGUGUCGUUUGAGCAAGCGAUCUUCGGACCUUCCGCGUCAGCAUGAGCCGGAUUCGCGUUAGAUUAGUUAGUUGGUAGGGUAAAGGCCUACCAAGGCAAGGAUGCGUAGCUGAGCUGAGAGGCUGAUCAGCCACACUGGAACUGAGACACGGCCCAGACUCCUACGGGAGGCAGCAGUGGGGAAUAUUGGACAAUGGGCGAAAGCCUGAUAGAGCAAUUCCGCGUGUGUGAUGAAGGCCUUCGGGUUGUAAAGCCCUGUUGUAUGGGAAGAACAGCUGUAGAUGAAUACAAUGCUAGUUUGACGGUACCAUAAGAGUAAGCGCCGGCUAAAUACGUG
This 497-nucleotide ribosomal RNA is filed under the name uncultured bacterium. RNAcentral describes it as "partial 16S ribosomal RNA". It matches the Rfam family "Bacterial small subunit ribosomal RNA", at positions 28 to 507 of the family's 1533-position model. The record is from RNAcentral.